Molecule: ribosomal RNA, 982 nt
Filed under: uncultured organism
Description: bacterial SSU rRNA
Rfam family: Bacterial small subunit ribosomal RNA
Source: RNAcentral
GAAUAAGCGUCGGCUAACUACGGUGCCAAGCAGCCGCGGUAAGACGUAGGACGCAAGCGUUAUCCGGAUUUACUGGGCGUAAAGCGUCUGUAGACGGUUCGAUAAGUUGGGCGUGAAAGCUCCGGGCUUAACCCGGAGAGGUCGUUCAAUACUGUCGAACUAGAGGACAUCAGAGGAGCAUGGAAUUUCCGGUGUAGCGGUAAAAUGCGCAGAUAUCGGAAGGAACACCAGUGGCGAAGGCGGUGCUCUGGGGUGGGCCUGACGCUGAGAGACGAAAGCUAGGGGAGCGAACAGGAUUAGAGACCCUGGUAGUCCUAGCCCUAAACGAUGGAUGCUAGGUGUGGGGCCGAGAAGGCUCUGUGCCGCAGUUAACGCGCUAAGCAUCCCGCCUGGGGAUUACGGCCGCAAGGCUAAAACUCAAACGAAUUGACGGGGCCCCGCACAAGCAGCGGAGCGUGUGGUUUAAUUCGAUGCUACACGAAGAACCUUACCUGGGUUUGACAUGUACGUGGUAGAGAAGCGAAAGCGGAUCGACCCUUCGGGGAGCGUACACAGGUGCUGCAUGGCUGUCGUCAGCUCGUGCCGUGAGGUGUCGGGUUAAGUCCCGUAACGAGCGCAACCCUUGCCCUUAGUUACAAGUGUCUAAGGGGACUGCCGGCGGUAAGCCGGAGGAAGGUGGGGAUGACGUCAAGUCAGCAUGGCCCUUAUAUCCAGGGCUACACACACGCUACAAUGGUCAGUACAAAGGGCAGCGAAGCCGCGAGGUGAAGCGAAUCCCAACAAAGCUGAUCUAAGUUCGGAUUGCAGGCUGCAACUCGCCUGCAUGAAGCUGGAGUUGCUAGUAACCGCGCGUCAGCUAUAGUGCGCGUGAAUACGUUCCCGGGGCUUGUACACACCGCCCGUCACGUCAUGGGAGUCGGUAACGCCUGAAGCUGGUAGUCUGGCCCGCAAGGGGGACGCCAUCAAAGGCGGGGCUGGCAAC